UGGUCAUAAGAGAUAUGGGUUCUUUGUUUUGGAGCAGACCCACUAAAUGGUCCUUGUUUUGGAGCAGACCUAGUGCAGAACAUUUUAAGGGAUUCGGGUGAUUCUUCUUCUUGUUCUGUUCGCGAUGUCAACCAUCGGAAAGUAUAAUAUCCAUUUCAAAAUUUAUGCAGACAGCUGAAUAUAGAGAUUGAAGUGCUUUGAAAUUUGUAAAAUACAUGAUCUAAUGGCUGAUGUUGUAAAAAAAAAAAAGAAAAAAAAAGAAAGAAAAGAAGAAGAAAAGGAUCAAUCAUUCUUUCGUGGCAAAGCUAAAACCUGAACCUUA
This 322-nucleotide long non-coding RNA is filed under the name Elaeis guineensis (African oil palm). RNAcentral describes it as "long non-coding RNA (EGUI_LNC041056)". The record is from RNAcentral. Lineage: Eukaryota; Viridiplantae; Streptophyta; Magnoliopsida; Arecales; Arecaceae.